GAUGAACGCUGGCGGCGUGCCUAAUACAUGCAAGUCGAGCGAACAGACGAGGAGCUUGCUCCUCUGACGUUAGCGGCGGACGGGUGAGUAACACGUGGAUAACCUACCUAUAAGACUGGGAUAACUUCGGGAAACCGGAGCUAAUACCGGAUAAUAUAUUGAACCGCAUGGUUCAAUAGUGAAAGACGGUUUUGCUGUCACUUAUAGAUGGAUCCGCGCCGCAUUAGGUAGUUGGUAAGGUAACGGCUUACCAAGGCAACGAUGCGUAGCCGACCUGAGAGGGUGAUCGGCCACCCUGGAAGUGAGACACGGUCCAGAGUCCUACGGGAGGCAGCCGUAGGGAAUCUUCCGGAAUGGGCGAAAGCCUGACGGCGCAACGCGGCGUGAUGGAUGAGGGUCUUCGGAUCGUAAACCUCUGUUAUUAGGGAAGAACACAUGUGUAAGUAACUAGGCACGUCUUGACGGUACCUAAUCAGAAAGCCACGGCUAACUACGUG
RNAcentral lists this ribosomal RNA (497 nucleotides) under uncultured bacterium. RNAcentral describes it as "partial 16S ribosomal RNA". It matches the Rfam family "Bacterial small subunit ribosomal RNA", at positions 28 to 507 of the family's 1533-position model. The record is from RNAcentral.